This 1539-nucleotide ribosomal RNA is filed under the name Saccharomyces cerevisiae (brewer's yeast). RNAcentral describes it as "SSU rRNA". It matches the Rfam family "Eukaryotic small subunit ribosomal RNA", at positions 1 to 1576 of the family's 1831-position model. Lineage: Eukaryota; Fungi; Ascomycota; Saccharomycetes; Saccharomycetales; Saccharomycetaceae. The record is from RNAcentral.
UCUGGUUGAUCCUGCCAGUAGUCAUAUGCUUGUCUCAAAGAUUAAGCCAUGCAUGUCUAAGUAUAAGCAAUUUAUACAGUGAAACUGCGAAUGGCUCAUUAAAUCAGUUAUCGUUUAUUUGAUAGUUCCUUUACUACAUGGUAUAACUGUGGUAAUUCUAGAGCUAAUACAUGCUUAAAAUCUCGACCCUUUGGAAGAGAUGUAUUUAUUAGAUAAAAAAUCAAUGUCUUCGGACUCUUUGAUGAUUCAUAAUAACUUUUCGAAUCGCAUGGCCUUGUGCUGGCGAUGGUUCAUUCAAAUUUCUGCCCUAUCAACUUUCGAUGGUAGGAUAGUGGCCUACCAUGGUUUCAACGGGUAACGGGGAAUAAGGGUUCGAUUCCGGAGAGGGAGCCUGAGAAACGGCUACCACAUCCAAGGAAGGCAGCAGGCGCGCAAAUUACCCAAUCCUAAUUCAGGGAGGUAGUGACAAUAAAUAACGAUACAGGGCCCAUUCGGGUCUUGUAAUUGGAAUGAGUACAAUGUAAAUACCUUAACGAGGAACAAUUGGAGGGCAAGUCUGGUGCCAGCAGCCGCGGUAAUUCCAGCUCCAAUAGCGUAUAUUAAAGUUGUUGCAGUUAAAAAGCUCGUAGUUGAACUUUGGGCCCGGUUGGCCGGUCCGAUUUUUUCGUGUACUGGAUUUCCAACGGGGCCUUUCCUUCUGGCUAACCUUGAGUCCUUGUGGCUCUUGGCGAACCAGGACUUUUACUUUGAAAAAAUUAGAGUGUUCAAAGCAGGCGUAUUGCUCGAAUAUAUUAGCAUGGAAUAAUAGAAUAGGACGUUUGGUUCUAUUUUGUUGGUUUCUAGGACCAUCGUAAUGAUUAAUAGGGACGGUCGGGGGCAUCAGUAUUCAAUUGUCAGAGGUGAAAUUCUUGGAUUUAUUGAAGACUAACUACUGCGAAAGCAUUUGCCAAGGACGUUUUCAUUAAUCAAGAACGAAAGUUAGGGGAUCGAAGAUGAUCAGAUACCGUCGUAGUCUUAACCAUAAACUAUGCCGACUAGGGAUCGGGUGGUGUUUUUUUAAUGACCCACUCGGCACCUUACGAGAAAUCAAAGUCUUUGGGUUCUGGGGGAGUAUGGUCGCAAGGCUGAAACUUAAAGGAAUUGACGGAAGGGCACCACCAGGAGUGGAGCCUGCGGCUUAAUUUGACUCAACACGGGGAAACUCACCAGGUCCAGACACAAUAAGGAUUGACAGAUUGAGAGCUCUUUCUUGAUUUUGUGGGUGGUGGUGCAUGGCCGUUCUUAGUUGGUGGAGUGAUUUGUCUGCUUAAUUGCGAUAACGAACGAGACCUUAACCUACUAAAUAGUGGUGCUAGCAUUUGCUGGUUAUCCACUUCUUAGAGGGACUAUCGGUUUCAAGCCGAUGGAAGUUUGAGGCAAUAACAGGUCUGUGAUGCCCUUAGACGUUCUGGGCCGCACGCGCGCUACACUGACGGAGCCAGCGAGUCUAACCUUGCCGAGAGGUCUUGGUAAUCUUGUGAAACUCCGUCGUGCUGGGGA